RNAcentral lists this signal recognition particle RNA (99 nucleotides) under Burkholderiales bacterium. RNAcentral's name for it is "signal recognition particle sRNA small type". It matches the Rfam family "Bacterial small signal recognition particle RNA". From Rfam's summary of the family: The signal recognition particle (SRP) is a universally conserved ribonucleoprotein involved in the co-translational targeting of proteins to membranes. RNAcentral also lists the same sequence under 1 other name. Lineage: Bacteria; Pseudomonadati; Pseudomonadota; Betaproteobacteria; Burkholderiales. The record is from RNAcentral.
GGCGGGCCCCCCCGCAGUGCGGCGUGGUCAACCUGGUCAGGUCCGGAAGGAAGCAGCCACAGCCAUUCCCCGCACGUGCCGGGGUCCCGGCUCGCCCAC